CCGCCGGCGACCGGCGCACGGGUGAGUAACGCGUAUGCAACCUGCCCGUUUCAGCGGGAUAACCCGGAGAAAUCCGGCCUAAUACCGCAUGUGGCCGAGGGGAGGCAUCUUCUUUCGGCCAAAGGAGGCGACUCCGGAGACGGAUGGGCAUGCGUGACAUUAGCUUGUUGGCGGGUAACGGCCCACCAAGGCGACGAUGCGUAGGGGUUCUGAGAGGAAGGUCCCCCACAUUGGAACUGAGACACGGUCCAAACUCCUACGGAAGGCAGCAG
RNAcentral lists this ribosomal RNA (272 nucleotides) under uncultured bacterium. Its description in RNAcentral is "partial 16S ribosomal RNA". It matches the Rfam family "Bacterial small subunit ribosomal RNA", at positions 85 to 354 of the family's 1533-position model. The record is from RNAcentral.